Molecule: long non-coding RNA, 854 nt
Filed under: Mytilus galloprovincialis (Mediterranean mussel)
Lineage: Eukaryota; Metazoa; Mollusca; Bivalvia; Mytilida; Mytilidae
Source: RNAcentral
GUUCAUGGUAAUUUUUUUAUAAAGAUUCACACUUGACAUUGAUAUGAAAAAAAUAUGUUCAUCUUUGUUCGUAACAAGGCUAGCCGUUUCAGCUUUUUUUUAAAUGCUGCUUUUUACAUGUAAUGGAAUGUUUUCUCAUUGUAGUAAAUGUACAAAGCAAAAUAUUUUUUUCAUGAUUCUAAUUAAUGAUAUUAAGUCCCCAUCUAUCAAUAGCAGUCUCGAGAAGGACAAAAGGUUUUAUGAUUUUUUUUAAAUAUUUCAUUUUCAUCUAUAGUACUUCCUUGCUUCAUAACCUCAUAUGCAUUAAAGUAAAAUUAUUUAAAUGCUGAACCCUCCAAGGUUAAUUCCAAACAGAAAGUCCCUAGUAAAAUGGCAAAAUCAAAAGCUAAAACACAUCAAAUGAAUGGACAGCAACUGUCAUAUUCCUGACAUGGUACAUCACACUCAAAGCCAAAUAAUAACUGUCACCCAUUAUAGGCUCGAGUGCAAUCAACGGCCUUAUACAACAAUCAUCUAAUUAACCAGUGCAUGAGCUCAACAUAAGAAAUGAAACCAGUUGAUUAGAACUUGUAUGAAUAUCGGUUAUAUCAAAACUUUUCAGAAAGACCUAUACAACAAUAAAUACGUCAAUUUAUUAACAUACAUUAAAGGUAUACAGUCAAACUACAAUUAUGUAUAUGUUUACAUUAUUUAUCUUUCUAUUUUAGUUGGUAUAGGGUUAGGGAAGCAACUGAAGAAGAUUGAUUGACAGUGGUUUGAGAACAAUGAGGCAUAAUGUAAUUGAAGCUUUAAUAAAAUAAAUGAAAUAAUUGGAGUCAGUAGACUUAUUAAUUGCAUUGAAUCUAAUGACUUAU